AUCCCAUAAUGGGUACAUUUACUCAAAAACUCUUUGAAUCUUUCCCAAGCGUCAAAUAAAGACUCAUCAUCUCCUUGUCUAAAUGAAGUAAUUUCAUUCCUCACCUU
Lathyrus oleraceus (garden pea) is the source of this 107-nucleotide small nucleolar RNA. NCBI's taxonomy places the organism in Eukaryota, Viridiplantae, Streptophyta, Magnoliopsida, Fabales, Fabaceae. The record is from RefSeq and is a predicted model, not a curated record.